UGCUAGGAUUCAGGGACUCUUCCUGGAAUCUGCUUCAUUUCUCCUGGGACCAGCUGUGUCCCCUUCCUGGCCUGGCUGCUCUCAGAUGCACUAGGAAGUGCUCAAGGUUGUUCUUGGACCUCGAAUGUUAAAUGUGCAGCCUCUCAGCUCCCCUGCCCUUCUCCAUGUCCUGUAUCUCAGGAUGGGUCUGCUUACAGUCACAGAUAUUCAUCUCCUGAAAUACUAAAAGACUUAGUGAAGCCUCGCAGCAAGAAAUGAUGUGCAGGAGUUUCUCUCAAAUACCAUCAGCAUGUUUGACAUUUCUGACUGCUCAGAGGUAGUGUCU
Molecule: long non-coding RNA, 325 nt
Filed under: Melopsittacus undulatus (budgerigar)
Lineage: Eukaryota; Metazoa; Chordata; Aves; Psittaciformes; Psittaculidae
Description: lncRNA (ENSMUNG00000020120.1)
Source: RNAcentral